CACUCCGCGAACAGGCGCUGGCGGGCAGGUUAACACACCACGGAGGGCUGGACGCUGGGCUUAAAUAUUUUGCAGUCAAUUGUUUUUAAAAGUUAAACUUAUGUGAUAACUCAAUCUGCAGUGAGUUUUUAGUGCAGUAAGUGCAAUGCUUUUUCCGUGAAGCAUUUCAAAACCAGUGAAGGUGCCUCAGAUGUUGCAGAGUAAGAAUUUAAGAGAGAGGGGUGCCCAGCCGGCUCAGUCAGUGGAACGAGCAACUGUUGGUCUCGGGUUGUAAGGUCAAGACCCACGUUGGGCAUAGAGAUUACUUAAAAAUUAACUUAAGGGCACCUGGGUGGCUCAGUCGGCUAAGUGUCUGACUUCGGCUCAGGUCAUGAUCUCACGGUUUGUGGGUUUGAGCCCCGCGUUGGGCUCUGUGCCGACAGCUCAGAGCCUGGAUCCUGCUUCGGAUUCUGCGUCUCCUUCUCUCUCUGCCCCUCCCCCACUUGUGCUCUGUCUCUCUCUAUCAAAAAUAAAUAAAUGGAAAAAAAAGCUUAAAAAAAUUUUUUUAAGUAUAAGAGAAAAAAUAGAUUAAAACCAGUUAAUAUAGUCAUGUUUGUUUUGAAGAAGAAACUUCCAUUGAUAACAAAAGUAACCCUUUGGGAGGGCACAGUUUAGCCUUUUCUCUGUAGUGGGGCCAGUGUGUUGUUCUGCCACAGGGUUGCCACCAGGAUGCAUUUGCCAAGCGCCUGCCUUCUGUGGGGGAGGAGACGUCUUGACUCGGGAAGCCAACUUACUGUUGGACACUUCUGAGGGGGAAGUGGGGGCCGUUCUUUUGAAAUUAAUAGUAACAACUGUGGCUAGGGGUGCCCGGGUGGCUCAGUCGAUUGAGCAUCCGACUUCGGCUCAGGUCAUGAUCUCGUGGUUCGUGAGUUCGAGCCCCGCGUCGGGCUCUGUGCUGACAGCUCAGAACCUGGAGCCUGUUUUGGAUUCUGUGUCUCCCUCUCUUUCUGCCCCUCCCCUGCUCGUGCGCACCCUCUCUCUUUCUCUCAAAAAUAAAUAAACUUUUUUUUUUUAAUUAAAAAAAUAAUAACUGUGGCUAACAUGGAGCUUUUCAAUGUGCUAGGCGCGGUACAUAUAGUUAUUAUUCCCAUUUGAGAGAGGCAGCAACUGAGGCUUAUAAAGGUGAAGAACUUGUCAGAGAUCACUCAUCAGAUGAGUGGUAGAGGCAGGAUUUGGACCCAGACAAAAGGACAGGCCGGGAGUCCUCAGAACCAGUGUGCAGUGCCCAGCCCAUAGCUGGGUGGCCCCUUGUGUCCCCUUGGAAGGCCAAGGCCGGGAGACCACUCCAGCAGAGGGCAAAGGGGGGCUUGGCAGAGAGGCCACCGGGGAAGCUCACGAGGGAGUACUCCUCCGCCCAAGUAGCCCGGGCCCAGUAGCCUGGGGUCCAGGGUGGAGAGAUGGCUGGGAGCGGUGGGGCAGGCCUCCCCUCAGCCCCAGCCCCUGGUCUGCAGGGUGGUCACAGCUCUGGACAGCCUGGAGAUCCCAGUGAUGUUGCAGAUGGCGUCCCCACCCACAGGGAUAUUAGUUUACCUGACAAGACAAAACUUGACUUUGCGGUAGGGGGCCACAUGGAAAUGCAUCACUUUUCCUGCUUCUCCCUGAGAGUAUUUUUCCCAGAAAUUCACAAGGGCAUUCACACCAUUCCCAGGCCCGCACCUGCUCUCAAGAAAAGAGCUCCUGGCGGCGGGGAGGGGUUGGAUGAAGGGGGACACAGGCCCGAGGGUCCGGCUGGAGGACGAGGGAGUACCCCAAGGUGUACCACGUGGUGCCCACGGUUCACGCUGCUCUGUGGGGAGGGGGUCGGAGCGUCCUCAGCACGAGGGGAAAACUUUGUGUCUCUACCAGACGAUGAUGGAUGUUUAGUGCACUUCUGGCGGCCAUCGUUUCACUGCACACGUGAGCCAGGCCCUUCGUGCCGCGGCCUUCAACUUCUACAGUCAAGCUGGAAAAAUACAAAGCAAGGAUCCCUGUCCUCCUGUCCCCUGACGCUGGCCUCCAGUGUGGCCGCCUGCGCUCCGUGUCCAGGGAUGUGUGCGAAUGUGCUUUGCUCUCGCUGAGCUCUGAGCCCAGCGGGGCCUCGGGAAAGCCUCCCCGGCGGCACUGGAGGCUCCCCCAGGAGAGGGGGUCUGGCUCAGCUCAGACCCUCUGCCGUCCAGCGGGCUGCUGGCAGGAGGAGCAGGAUCUCCAGUGUCCAGGCCGCGCCCGUUUCAAGCCACAAUUACCCGGUUCAGUUCCAGCACGACAGCUUGGCCAGGCGUCCUGCGUCCCUCCACGUCCCUCAUGAGCCACAGACUGCGUGGCGAGGGGGGCCGGCAGCACCACAGGAUGCCCAGGGCUCCGCCGAGGGCAAAGGGUGCCGGUCGUCCAUUCCUUGCCCCCAGCUGCACCAGUGUCCGAUGUGUACCCUCCAGCAGGGAGAGACUGUCCCUCCUGCAGAGGGGCCGGGCGGCAGAGGCUUGCAGCCGGCCCUCCGAAAACAAAGCCCCGGCUGACUGUGUUUGCCAGCUUCCGAGGCGUAAAUACUCACUAGAGCUGCGGAAAGAUGGGUGGUUGGGCACCGGCACAGAGUGCUUCCACGGGGACGCCGCCAACAGCCUCGCGCAAGGAAAAUGUGCUGGAAGGAUUAGGAAGCCGUGUGUUUUGAAUAGGUAUAAACUCUGCCCUCAGGCCAGAGACCCCUGCGGUGGCCGGGAGCCGGACGCAUCAUCUGGAUACGGUCACGUCCUCCAGAAAGGGCAUCAGUUCCUUCCUCUGUG
Molecule: long non-coding RNA, 2795 nt
Organism: Neofelis nebulosa (Clouded leopard)
Lineage: Eukaryota; Metazoa; Chordata; Mammalia; Carnivora; Felidae
Exons: 3
Source: RefSeq, a predicted model, not a curated record